Molecule: ribosomal RNA, 253 nt
Filed under: uncultured bacterium
Lineage: Bacteria
Description: partial 16S ribosomal RNA
Rfam family: Bacterial small subunit ribosomal RNA
Source: RNAcentral
UACGGGAGGGGCAAGCGUUGUUCGGAAUUACUGGGCGUAAAGGGCUCGUAGGUGGCCAACUAAGUCAGGCGUGAAAUCCCUCGGCUUAACUGGGGAACUGCGUCUGAUACUGGCGGGCUUGAGUGCAGGAGAGGAACGCGGAAUUCCAGGUGUAGCGGUGAAAUGCGUAGAUAUCUGGAGGAACACCGGUGGCGAAGGCGGCGUUCUGGACUGCAACUGACACUGAGAAACGAAAGCCAGGGUAGCAAACGGG